Molecule: long non-coding RNA, 878 nt
Organism: Glossina fuscipes
Lineage: Eukaryota; Metazoa; Arthropoda; Insecta; Diptera; Glossinidae
Exons: 3
Source: RefSeq, a predicted model, not a curated record
ACAAAAUUUUCGCAAACAUUUGAAUCUGAUCGCAUAUAUACGUUGAAGAGGCAUAAAUUGACGUUAAUUGGAAUAUGUAAGCUAUAUCUUAAACAAACACACACAUUGGCUUAGCUCAUACCUACUUACAAGACCAUUACGAUGGCGAUGCUUAGGCCCUUGGUGAGAUUAUUUAAAGCACUACGCAUUUUUAUCUUCCAAACAUUUAUGGGCGAUAGUGGAUAUCCGUUAGAACGUUAACGGCAGCACUGACGAACAACUUGAAAAAUGCAUUUGUUUAUAGGAAGGUCACUGGUAUAUUUCGUUGGAAGAAGAGCGUAAAAGCAGAUAUAUUCCAUAUCCCCCACAUUUGCAUACACUAAAAGUUCCAACUUGGGGAAGCAAAGAUUUGGAUUCAUUAGCGUCCGAAACAUAUUGAGGUGAUGUUGCCGAUGUCUUCGCAGACCUCUCAUAGUUAAGACAAUUGGGUGUAAAAAUAAGACUCUAAAAGUGAUGACCUGACACUUGUCUAUGCAAUAAUUGAUGCCGCAUGAUAGGUCCAAGUUAAUAAUAUGCCAAAAAAACGCAUCAAUAUUUACGAUCGAGGUUAUUUCUUCAACACACAAGCGUUGCUCGCAAAACUGAACCUAAAACGGUUAUCAUCACGGGCAGUUUGCCAGUCAUAAAAUCUGUCUAUCUAAAACCCAUCUAUCCAGCUAUUGAAGUUUCACUUGGGAAACUUUUAACAAAAUAGGAAAUACCCUUGCCACUUGCGGACAUAAAAUUGAAAUUGGCUUGAUGCAUAUUGGACUUCUGGGGAAUCAGCGAGUAAACAUAUCCAAAUCCACAGUUUUAACAUUUGCAAUUAUGGAUGACACAGUGGAAAAAUUUGGUCUCCG